AGCAGCCGCGGUAAUUCCAGCUCCAAUAGCGUAUAUUAAAGUUGUUGCAGUUAAAAAGCUCGUAGUUGAAUUUCGGGAUUAAUCUACUGGUCGUGCUAUUGUACGUACUGGUUUUAUUGAUUCCUCCCUUCUGACGAACUAUGAUGUCAUUAAUUUGGUGUCAUAGGGAAUCAGGACUGUUACUUUGAAAAAAUUAGAGUGUUUAAAGCAGGCUCACGCUUGAAUACAUUAGCAUGGAAUAACGGAAUAGGACGUUUGAUUCUAUUUUGUUGGUUUCUAGGAUCGACGUAAUGAUUAAUAGGGAUAGUUGGGGGCAUUAGUAUUCAAUUGUCAGAGGUGAAAUUCUUGGAUUUAUUGAAGACUAACUACUGCGAAAGCAUUUGCCAAGGAUGUUUUCAUUAAUCAAGAACGAAAGUUAGGGGAUCGAAGACGAUCAGAUACCGUCGUAGUCUUAACCAUAAACUAUGCCGACUAGGGAUCGGAUGAUGUUAAUUUUUUAAUGUACUCAUUCGGCGCCUUA
This 520-nucleotide small RNA is filed under the name uncultured Glomus. RNAcentral describes it as "SSU rRNA". It matches the Rfam family "Eukaryotic small subunit ribosomal RNA", at positions 569 to 1090 of the family's 1831-position model. The record is from RNAcentral. Lineage: Eukaryota; Fungi; Glomeromycota; Glomeromycetes; Glomerales; Glomeraceae.